This 406-nucleotide ribosomal RNA is filed under the name uncultured bacterium. RNAcentral describes it as "partial 16S ribosomal RNA". It matches the Rfam family "Bacterial small subunit ribosomal RNA", at positions 29 to 526 of the family's 1533-position model. The record is from RNAcentral.
AUUGAACGCUGGCGGCAGGCCUAACACAUGCAAGUCGAACGAGGGGCGGACGGGUGAGUAAUGUCUGGGAAACUGCCUGAUGGAGGGGGAUAACUACUGGAAACGGUAGCUAAUACCGCAUACCAUCGGGUGUGCCCCGCAGGGAGUAGCUAGUAGGUGGGGUAAAGGCUCACCUAGGCGACGAUCCCUAGCUGGUCUGAGAGGAUGACCAGCCACACUGGAACUGAGACACGGUCCAGACUCCGACGGGCGGCAGCAGUGGGGAAUAUUGCACACGGGGCGCAAGCCUGAUGCAGCCAUGCCGCGUGUAGGAAGAAGGCCUUCGGGUUGGAAAGUACUUUCAGCGGGGAGGCGUUACCCGCAGAAGAAGCACCGGCUAACUCCGUGCCAGCCGCCGCGGUAAUAC